CUUGGAUGCCAUCCAGAAUAACCUGGACAGAGCUCUGGGCCAGCCAUAGAGGAGGCGCUGCCUGGCCACGGGGUGGACCAGCCCUGGCCCUCAGACCCUCCCCACAUGUGUUAGGGCUGAGCCUCACAGCCCCACUCUUUGGAGGCCUUUCUAGGGGACAAUUGGUUUGUAAUGAGAUGUUUUCGAAAUACGAGUGCCUUCCACCCCUCCUCCCGGUGUGCUUUACCUCAGCUGGUCAGUGUGCUCCACACUGUCAUUUUUACUGCCUUGAACACAUGGGGUCCUAUGUAGCUACUAAAAAGCUCUU
This is a long non-coding RNA of Perognathus longimembris pacificus (Pacific pocket mouse), 307 nucleotides long. RefSeq lists it as uncharacterized. The transcript has 2 exons. Lineage: Eukaryota; Metazoa; Chordata; Mammalia; Rodentia; Heteromyidae. The record is from RefSeq and is a predicted model, not a curated record.